Centropristis striata (black sea bass) is the source of this 1793-nucleotide long non-coding RNA. RefSeq lists it as uncharacterized. NCBI's taxonomy places the organism in Eukaryota, Metazoa, Chordata, Actinopteri, Perciformes, Serranidae. The transcript is spliced from 3 exons. The record is from RefSeq and is a predicted model, not a curated record.
UUCUUGACCCAAAUAGUCUCAGAAACCAUCUAUUAUGCAGUACUGUGGUCCAAACCAUUAAAAAGAUAAUUUCCAGCUUGGCUGACGUUAGCCAUUUUGGAUUAAGGGCACUCAAAAAUUUUCCCCACAUUUUUGAGAGGGGCACCCCGGCUCAAUUUCUUAUUUAACCCUUAUAGAUGACAAAUCCAGUGAGAAACCAACCUUCGCUCUCCACGGUCAUGGAACUGCUAUAGAUGACCCAACUAUGUGUCCAUCUUAUUUAGUCGUUUUAUUGUUUUAUUGAUCGUUGUUUGUGAAAUUAGCUUCAUAUUUAAUUGAUGGUGCACUAACACAAUUUAGAGCUAUAUUGGGUUUAGUGGGACUUAAUUGCAUUUUUGGGGGUUUUAAUUGUAGGUCAUGUAAUAACAGAUAAUUACAAUAAACAGCAGGUACUGUGUCAUAGUGUGUGUUUUAGCCCAUUAUUUGUAGCAAAUGUUGACAAUAUUAAGUAGAAAUGCAGGAUUUUGUAAGAAUAAUGAUAGAUAGAUAGAUAGAUAGAUAGAUAGAUAGAUAGAUAGAUAGAUAGAUAGAUAGAUAGAUAGAUAGAUAGAUAGAUAGAUAGAUAGAUAGAUAGAUAGAUAGAUAGAUAGAUAGAUAGAUAGAUUGAUAGAUAGAUAGAUAGAUAGAUAGAUAGAUAGAUUGAUUGAUUGAUUGAUUGAUUGAUUGAUUGAUUGAUUGAUUGAUUGAUUGAUUGAUUGAUUGAUUGAUUGAUUGAUUGAUUGAUUGAUUGAUUGAUUGAUUGAUUGAUUGAUUGAUUGAUUGAUAGAUAGAUAGAUAGAUAGAUAGAUAGAUAGAUAGAUAGAUAGAUAGAUAGACAGACUUUAUUUAUCCCAAGCUGGGAAAUUACAGUGUAGCAGCAGCAUUACACACAGAGACAAUAACAACACAAUUAAAUAAAUAGAACAACCUAGGCAUAAUGAGGUUGAAACCAACAUAUAAUUGAUAACAUUAUUUGAUUGAAUGAUUUUUUUUGCUUUGACAGAACAGAUUUAAUCCUUCCUUGUUCAGAAGUUUGAGUUUCUCUAAUGUUUGACAAGCUGUAACAUGAACCAUCAGGUUUUAUCCGCCACAGUGCUCAUUUUAAACUGCUGAAGCUUGAACCUGAGAGACGACGACCACCAGCAGCAGCAUCCAUGUGGAGCUUCAACUGAGAUCAUUAAUGUGUGAAUUCCCACGGACAGGCAUGCUUUAAAUCCAGCACCAGCCCUAAACAGGACAACAACAUGGACUAACGAGAUCGAUGGCCCAGCAGGACGCCCAUGGACCAGCAUACAUCUGACUCAGUGCUUAUCCAAUUGUUUUUUUAAUUUUUUAAGGUGUUUUUUGGCUUUAUUGACUGUGGGACAUACAUAGUGGGGAGAAAAAGGGGAAGACAUGCAGGAAAUGACAGAUGACACCAUCCUGGCUCCUGCUUAUUUGCCACUAUGACAGUAUUAAUGCAUCUGCGGCUCCUUGAAUUGUGUUAGACUUAUGUAUUGUAAACGUUCAUGCGAUUGUAAUCUUUAGUGGUGUCCUAUUUUGUCUAAAGGACAAAAGAGAGAAUUGUACAAGGAAAUAUUUGACUGUUUUUAUAAUUCUUCAUUGAGUUAAACUGUUCUACAUUGAUUAAAAAAUGAUCAAGUAUGUAUCCAGAUUUAAUAAAGUGUGUAGUAGUUAUAGUAUGUUUAAGAAUGUCAAAAAAACUGUCUGUGAAGUUUGUCAAAAAAUUUCAAAAAAUGCUUAAUAAAAGUAUGUUAAUUAUGGCAAUAUUAUAA